GGGGGGGGGGGAACGACACCUAUUCUUGCCUAGCAGUGGGCUUCGUCUCCCCACGGUAUUUACAAAGAAGAAAGGAAAGCAGCGUCCACUUUUGUGCAGGCAGAUCCUCUCUGGAGAGGCCCACUACCUCAACAGGGCUGCAUUUCUCUUAAAAGGUCUCAGAUAGCCUCGGCUGGAGUCAAAGUAAGACAAGGAUGACCUUGAAGUUCCGAUCUUCCUGACAGCCCCUCCCGGGGCUGGGAUUACAGAGUGCAGCUUAGCUGGCAGACACCGUCCAGAAAUCGGCUUCCGACUACAAGCUCCUCCAAAAGUGAUCUACACCAUCCCAGCCCCAGGGCCUGGACUGUCGUCACCCUGUGCAGCUUCUGCAGUGCCGCGGAUCGAACCCAGGCUUUGUGUGUGCCAGGCAAGCUCUCUGCCCACUGAGCCUCAGCCCAGUCCUGUUUCCUACGUGUUAUCAGGGUUCAUCAGACCUUCACAGAUCUGCCCAGGAGCCGAAUGACAUGUGAAAGUCCCACGCUUGCCUGCCUCGAAUUUCGUGUUGGUGGACUCUGGGCUCCUGUUUUACAUUCUGUGAUGUAGUCAUUGCAGCCUGGCAGUGGGGGUAUCAGACAGGUGAUGCUGGGUGGGAUGGGAAAGGAGACAGCGGGAGGCAGGAGGGCACAGCCCAAGUCGGGGCCAAGCCCAGGCUUUGGUGCAGAGACACUCAUGGGUCUAUGGGACCAUGGCAGGGGGCGGGUGGGAAUGAGGAAGUGUAGAGGAGCUGUCAUGUUUAUGGAGCCUUCUGGGAGCUAUGGCAAGACUGUCCAACCGUGUUACCAGCAUGCUUCGUGUCCAGUCAGGAUGGAAUCCAGGAGGUCAGGUCAAGCAUGAUCUCAGAGGACUGUGAUGCAGUGGGAUUUCCACUUCUAAAGCCAGAUGUAGUGACACAUGCCAGCCAUUUCAGCACUUGGGAGACUGAGGCAGGAGGAUUGCAAGGACAAGGACAACCUGGGCUACAGGGAGACUUCCAGGCCACCUUGGGCAACUCAGCAGGCCUUGUCUUAAAACAAGUAAAAAUGGAUGUAACACGGUAGUGGAGAGCUUGUCUAGCUUGUGGGAAGCCUUAGAUUUGACGUCUAACUCUGCAAAAUCAGAAGGCAGGAGACUCCUCCUCCUCCUUGGGUAUGUUCACCAUUCCGAGUGCACACACACUUUCUGUCUCCGUCCCUGACUAAGGGCCUACAGCUGUAAUCAAGCACCUGCCCCUUGCCUACCUCAGCCAGGCUCUCUCCAGGAGCACAGUAGAUGAGCAGGUCCAGAAGGGAUAGCGGCCUCUUCUUCGUCCCUCUCUUCUGUCUCCUCUGAGAAUCUGUCCUGUGUGCCAGCCAGCCACUUCCAGAGACAGGAGAGUGUCAGAGGGACCAAGUCCAGAGGCAGCCAGGUUCGCUUCUGUGAUGGACACUGAACCCAGACUGUGCCACGCUCCCAUGUGGAGGGCACCCCUGAACUACUCAACAGUCCAAAGGGACAAAUGCCACCGCUCUCCAACAGAUGAGGACCCCAAGGCUCAGUGGGGACGCCGGCACCAGCUGCUGCUGCUACCACCCAGGAUGUUGCUCUAGGCAGUGGCUGGCAACAUUGCCAUCUGCCUCUCCAGACUUCUUCCUUCCCAUCAGGCACUUUGGUACCCAUUCACCCUCCUGACGUCUUCACUCCCUCAAAGACUCUGACACACCUCCACAGCCCUUUAGAGGUAGCUUCCCAGGGCCGUGUCCUUCCAGGAGAUGUGGUCCCUGUAGGUAGGCAGAAGCCCAUCCCCCACCCAUUCCUGGAUCUGGCUUUGCUGUGGAUGCUGAUCCUGGAGGGUGGGGGUGAGGAUGGAGGAAGACGCCCUCACCCCUUCUGCUCAGCACCCUGCCAGGCACUUCCAGCACCCGUGGGAAUGUGCAGAAGGUAUUUUAAAGAUGCUGAAGUCAGCCGGGAUUCAAGGUUGAAUGAGGGUUUUUCACCAUGAUGGUACUGCUGGUACCUGCUUCUUCUGAGUGUCUUCAUGACCUUCUGCACCCCAGUGCAGCUGGAGACAUGGAGGCUCCACACGGAGAAGGGACCGACCCUCAGAUGGGCAGGUGGUGGCCUUGGGAGGGCAGGUGGGGCCUUAAACCACAGGCAUACCGACAGCACAUGGAAGGUGGUGUCCUAGCCGGAAGGCAAGCUGGCAGACACUGAGCCCACUUCCAUUCCCUCUGCCCCGGCUGCUUCUCAGAUGGAACAGGCUGUAUCCUCAGCAGUGCCAUGCGGGCUGGACAGAGAAGUCCCUUCCCUCUCUUGAAGGAUCCUGGGAAUAAUAGGUUUAAUACCCCUCCCCCAACGCUUUAAAGUCCCAACUCUUGUACCUAUGGUUUAUAACCCAUUUUGGAAAUAAGAUGUAUGUGUGUGUGUGUGUGUGUGUGUGUGUGUUAACGU
This is a non-coding RNA of Peromyscus maniculatus bairdii (prairie deer mouse), 2445 nucleotides long. Lineage: Eukaryota; Metazoa; Chordata; Mammalia; Rodentia; Cricetidae. The record is from RefSeq and is a predicted model, not a curated record.